GCCUGGGUGGCUCAGUUGGUAAGCAUCUGACUUCAGCUCAGGUCAUGAUCUCACUGUUUAUGAGUUCGAACCCCAUGUCGGGCU
This 84-nucleotide transfer RNA is filed under the name Felis catus (domestic cat). It matches the Rfam family "tRNA". From Rfam's summary of the family: Transfer RNA (tRNA) molecules are approximately 80 nucleotides in length. Their secondary structure includes four short double-helical elements and three loops (D, anti-codon, and T loops). The record is from Rfam by way of RNAcentral. Lineage: Eukaryota; Metazoa; Chordata; Mammalia; Carnivora; Felidae.